CCUACGGGAGACAGCAGUGAGGAAUAUUGGUCAAUGGGCGUAAGCCUGAACCAGCCAAGCCGCGUGAGGGAUGAAGGUUCUAUGGAUCGUAAACCUCGUUUAUAAGGGAAUAAAGUGUGGGACGUGUCCUGUUUUGUAUGUACCUUAUGAAUAAGGAUCGGCUCACUCCGUGCCAGCAGCCGCGGUAAAACGGAGGAUCCGAGCGUUGUCCGGAUUGAUUGGGUUUAAAGGGUGCGUAGGCGGCCUUUUAAGUCAGCGGUGAAAGUCUGUGGCUCAACCAUAGAAUUGCCGUUGAAACUGGGAGGCUUGAGUAUGUUUGAGGCAGGCGGAAUGCGUGGUGUAGCGGUGAAAUGCGUAGAUAUAACGCAGAACACCGAUGGCGAAGGCAGCCUGCUAAGCCAUGACUGACGCUGAGGCACGAAAGCGUGGGGAGCAAACAGGAUUAGAUACCCCAGUAGUC
Molecule: ribosomal RNA, 460 nt
Filed under: uncultured bacterium
Lineage: Bacteria
Description: partial 16S ribosomal RNA
Rfam family: Bacterial small subunit ribosomal RNA
Source: RNAcentral